AACGAACGCUGGCGGCAGGCUUAACACAUGCAAGUCGAACGGAUGUAGCAAUACAUCAGUGGCAGACGGGUGAGUAACACGUGGGAACCUUCCUCGUUGUACGGGACAACUCAGGGAAACUUGAGCUAAUACCGUAUACGUCCGAGAGGAGAAAGAUUUAUCGCAAUGAGACGGGCCCGCGUCGGAUUAGCUAGUUGGUGGGGUAACGGCCUACCAAGGCGACGAUCCGUAGCUGANCUGAGAGGAUGAUCAGCCACACUGGGACUGAGACACGGCCCAGACUCCUACGGGAGGCAGCAGUGGGGAACCUUGGACAAUGGGCGCAAGCCUGAUCCAGCCAUGCCGCGUGAGUGAAGAAGGCCUGCGGGUUGUAAAGCACUUUCGAUGGGAACGAAAUGUGCCGGGCUAAUAUCCCGGCAAGCUGACGUUACUCAAUGAAGAAGCACCGGCUAACUCUGUGCCAGCAGCA
RNAcentral lists this ribosomal RNA (469 nucleotides) under uncultured bacterium. RNAcentral's name for it is "partial 16S ribosomal RNA". It matches the Rfam family "Bacterial small subunit ribosomal RNA", at positions 29 to 516 of the family's 1533-position model. The record is from RNAcentral.